This 58-nucleotide transfer RNA is filed under the name Mustela putorius furo (domestic ferret). The record is from Rfam by way of RNAcentral. Lineage: Eukaryota; Metazoa; Chordata; Mammalia; Carnivora; Mustelidae.
ACCUGGGUGGCUCAGUCGGUUGAGCAUCUGACUUGGACUCAGAUCAUGAUUUCGGGUU